This 853-nucleotide long non-coding RNA is filed under the name Parus major (Great Tit). Its description in RNAcentral is "lncRNA (ENSPMJG00000018182.1)". Lineage: Eukaryota; Metazoa; Chordata; Aves; Passeriformes; Paridae. The record is from RNAcentral.
GGGGCCGGGCAGGGCGCGGGCGGCCGCGCGUUCCGCCGGGGACGCGCCGGGGCUGCCGGAGACGCCCGUGUCGGGUGUCCCCGUGGGGGCUGCGGAGGGCAGGUGGAGGGGCCGUGGGGUGCGGGCAGUCCCCUCCUUCCCUGUUGGUUUCUUUGGGACGGAUGCGGUGGGCCCCAUCUUUGCGCUCUACGCAACAGGUCACAACAUGAUAGUUGGGAAAAUGGAAUGGUUGCCAGAACAUCAGUCUGUGAUGGAUGCCAUAUUGCAUUACCCUUCAAAUGGUGGAAUACAGUUUGGGAUUCCUCAGACCUGCUUAACGUGGUUCAAGAUGGAACUUACAGCUGCUUAACGUUUUAGCUGUUUGGAUCCAUGGUUAUGGUUAAUGGUUUCCUGGGUGAAGAGUCCCAUGCUGAAACUUGUGGAUAUUGUAGAACAUGCUGCUGAGACCCAUUUGGAUUAUACUGCCAUCUGACAUCAAGGUUUUGCAGCUGAUGAAAGGAGAGAUUUAUUUCCAUUUUACAUGUCAGUCUUCUGAAACGGAAUGCCCAUAACAAUGUUUUUGAGCCUGUAUGUUUGGAGAGGAGCAAAAGUUGUAAUUGUGCAUUUUCCUGAUGCUGCAGGUUCCCAAAAAGGUGGAGUUUACCAGAUCUUUUUUAUGUGGUUGCUGAAGCAUUGCCCUGGGACAGCAGUAAUGAUGGAUGGAGGAACAGAACACACUUCAGAGCUAUCUGAAACUGGCUUUCUUUGUUCACUCCAGCUGUCAGCAGAUUUCAAGGUAUGUCUGUGUUUGAAGAAGUUAUCAUAGAUAUUGGUGACAGCUGGGCUUUGAAAUGUUCUUUGCAGUCAACACAAA